This 498-nucleotide ribosomal RNA is filed under the name uncultured bacterium. RNAcentral's name for it is "bacterial SSU rRNA". It matches the Rfam family "Bacterial small subunit ribosomal RNA", at positions 899 to 1397 of the family's 1533-position model. The record is from RNAcentral.
ACUCAAAUGAAUAGACGGGGACCCGCACAAGCGGUGGAGCAUGUGCUUUAAUUCGAUGCAACGCGUAGAACCUUACCCGGUCUUGACAUAGUUCUGCUAAUCCUAGAGAUAGGGUAUUCAGAAAUGACAGGACAUACAGAUGCUGCAUGGUUGUCGUCAGCUCGUGUCGUGAGAUGUUGGGUUAAGUCCCGCAACGAGCGCAACCCUUGCCAAUAGUUGCCAACAGGUUAUGCUGGGGACUCUAUUGGGACUGCCUUCGCAAGGAGGAGGAAGGUGGGGAUGACGUCAAAUCAUCAUGGCUCUUACGACCGGGGCUAGACACGUGCUACAAUGGCGACUACAAUGAGCUGCUACCUGGCAACAGGAUGCCAAUCUCAAAAAAGUCGUCUCAGUUCGGAUUGAGGUCUGCAACUCGACCUCAUGAAGUAGGAAUCGCUAGUAAUCGCAGGUCAGAAUACUGCGGUGAAUACGUUCCCGGGUCUUGUACACACCGCCCGU